GCCGGGCGUGGUGGCUCAUGCCUGUAAUCCCAGCACUUUGGGAGGCUGAGGCAGGAGGAUCGCUUGAGCCCAGGAGUUUGAGACCAGCCUGGACAACAUAGCGAGACCUUGUCUCUA
Macaca fascicularis (crab-eating macaque) is the source of this 117-nucleotide unclassified non-coding RNA. It matches the Rfam family "Metazoan signal recognition particle RNA". Rfam says of the family: The signal recognition particle (SRP) is a universally conserved ribonucleoprotein. It is involved in the co-translational targeting of proteins to membranes. NCBI's taxonomy places the organism in Eukaryota, Metazoa, Chordata, Mammalia, Primates, Cercopithecidae. The record is from Ensembl.